Molecule: ribosomal RNA, 725 nt
Filed under: uncultured bacterium
Lineage: Bacteria
Description: bacterial SSU rRNA
Rfam family: Bacterial small subunit ribosomal RNA
Source: RNAcentral
CAAGUCGAACGAUUAAAGCUCCCUUCGGGGAGUGCAUAGAGUGGCGCACGGGUGAGUAACACGUAAGUAAUCUACCCUCGAGUGGGGAAUAACAUCGGGAAACCGAUGCUAAUACCGCAUAAUGCAGCGGCACCGCAAGGUGACAGUUGUUAAAGAUUUAUCGCUUGAGGAGGAGCUUGCGGCAGAUUAGCUAGUUGGUAAGGUAAUGGCUUACCAAGGCUACGAUCUGUAACCGGUCUUAGAGGACGGUCGGUCACACUGACACUGAAUAACGGGUCAGACUCCUACGGGAGGCAGCAGUCGGGAAUUUUGGGCAAUGGGCGAAAGCCUGACCCAGCAACGCCGCGUGAAGGAUGAAGUAUUUCGGUAUGUAAACUUCGAAAGAAUGGGAAGAAUAAAUGACGGUACCAUUUAUAAGGUCCGGCUAACUACGUGCCAGCAGCCGCGGUAAUACGUAGGGACCAAGCGUUGUUCGGAUUUACUGGGCGUAAAGGGCGCGUAGGCGGCAUAUUAAGUCAGCUGUGAAAUCUCCGAGCUUAACUCGGAACGGUCAGCUGAUACUGAUGUGCUAGAGUGCAGAAGGGGCAAUCGGAAUUCUUGGUGUAGCGGUGAAAUGCGUAGAUAUCAAGAGGACACCUGAGGUGAAGACGGGUUGCUGGGCUGACACUGACGCUGAGCGCGAAAGCCAGGGGAGCAAACGGGAUAGAUACCCCGGUAGUCUGGCC